GGUUAAGCGACUAAGCGUACACGGUGGAUGCCCUGGCAGUCAGAGGCGAUGAAGGACGUGCUAAUCUGCGAUAAGCGUCGGUAAGGUGAUAUGAACCGUUAUAACCGGCGAUUUCCGAAUGGGGAAACCCAGUGUGAUUCGUCACACUAUCAUUAACUGAAUCCAUAGGUUAAUGAGGCGAACCGGGGGAACUGAAACAUCUAAGUACCCCGAGGAAAAGAAAUCAACCGAGAUUCCCCCAGUAGCGGCGAGCGAACGGGGAGGAGCCCAGAGCCUGAAUCAGUGUGUGUGUUAGUGGAAGCGUCUGGAAAGGCGCGCGAUACAGGGUGACAGCCCCGUACACAAAAAUGCACAUGCUGUGAGCUCGAUGAGUAGGGCGGGACACGUGGUA
This 391-nucleotide ribosomal RNA is filed under the name Escherichia coli. RNAcentral describes it as "partial 23S ribosomal RNA". It matches the Rfam family "Bacterial large subunit ribosomal RNA", at positions 1 to 431 of the family's 2925-position model. Lineage: Bacteria; Pseudomonadati; Pseudomonadota; Gammaproteobacteria; Enterobacterales; Enterobacteriaceae. The record is from RNAcentral.